Long non-coding RNA from Oxyura jamaicensis (ruddy duck), 423 nucleotides. RefSeq lists it as uncharacterized. NCBI's taxonomy places the organism in Eukaryota, Metazoa, Chordata, Aves, Anseriformes, Anatidae. The transcript has 3 exons. The record is from RefSeq and is a predicted model, not a curated record.
AUUUGAAUGAUUCUAAUUCUUAUGAUGGGCUUGAGGGCUUUUAUUUGGGGAUUUUUUUGAUAUUUUUUUAGCAUGCUUUGAUGUAUUAGGAACCAGAAAAGGAUCUUUAUUUCUUGCAGUGAUGAUUUUAAACCUGAAGUUAGCAGGUUGACAUAAAGUAGCUAGCCACGGUUAAGCGACUACUGAACUUGCUUCAAAAUGCAGUAUUAGAAUUUCCCAUGCAUGCUAUUGCAGUGUAAUAAGGGUUUGCCAAUCGCCCACGGGAGGGAAGUGGUUAUCCUAGGCUCCAGCAGGGGAAAUGGGCAAGAGUGGCCCUAGGUACGUGAGGAAAAAGGUUCCUUUGCAUGAGUUGGAGAGGGCAGAAGUAAGGACCAUGUUGAGGGGAGAGCAGAAUGAGGGAAAUUAGCAAUUAGAAUGAGGAAA